CCACAGGACGCACCGUUGUGACAUGAGGACCCCCAAGUGACGUUCCAUCAUAUAAAGGUUUAGAAAAUGGUGAGACUGAAGUGAUGAGUGGUCAUAUGCCAAGCUAAAGGCCAUAUGGGUCUUUUGAAAAACAAACUCUUUUUGCACCUUGUGACCAUCAGUUUAUUGAGCAGAAGGGACUUACCAUGCCCCUUUUCUUUGGCUCAAGCAGUAUCACAGGCUGAAAGAGCUUUUCGUCAACCAAAUCAUGUAAUCUUCUUGAUGUUUGUUGCCUGCCAGAAGGGGACAAAGUGGGACUAACAUAGAUGGAAGAUGCCCCAUCUCUCUGAAUGGAAGGAUCGAACUCCAGGAAGGGGGCGAUAACGCCAGUUGCUUGGAAGAGCUGGUGUUGUAGUGUGGGUGUGAUGCUGUAGUUACUGGAGAGACUGAGUACACUGUGUGAAUCUAUUAAGUCCCCGUCCACAGUGAUGUACUGCCACAACCAAGGCUAGAGCUGAAUGUACUGUUUAUAUGCAGAGAGAGAACAGAGAGCACAUACAGAAUACAUGUUUUGAUUUAGAUAAAACCAAGGCGGAAAUGUGACUUCAUGCAAAGGGUAUAAUUUUCACAUUUCCACUUUCUCUUGUGUUUUUCUCAGCAGGGGCUUUCAAAUGUAUUCCACGCGAGGCGCAAGCCAGAGUGCCUCAUUUCUGCUUAAUGUUUUUGAGUGAAAAUAGACUGCCAGUUGGGUCAGCGGCAUUAAUGGACUUGGUGACUUGUUUGGCAUUUGGUAGAUGAUUAACAAAGCAGAGAACUUAUUUUACAGCCCCUUCCUGUUCCUUUUGGACUUUUGGCCUAAAUAUUUUCGUAUCCAUACAGAGAGAAACCUGAGUUAUUGGCACAAGCAUAGAGAUUGACAUGGCUGAUUCUUUGUCUGGAUGGGGAAAGAGUGAUAUACAGACUUCACUACAUGAUACAUUGUUCUACUUGAACUGUUUGGUAACCCCAUUUAUAGCAAAUGAAUUGGAUUUUUAUCCUAAAGGGUUUGCAGUUUGGGUAGAGCUUUGUUGUACCUGGGAUGGGAAGUAGACUAGCUUCGUGCAUUUGUUGAUUGUUCUCCUCUAAUCAGGGACUAAUUUAGACCAAGUUGGUGCAAUUAUUGGGUUGGGCAGAAAACCAGCAGGUUCCGGACCUCGUAAGGGAAGAGUUGAAUACCCCUGGUUUAGCCUAUUUGAACUAUACUGGCUCCGCACAGUGAAGAGCAGUCUUGCAGCGCACAGAAGGGCAGCACGUUAAAAUCAAGAGUAAUUUGUCGUUUCUUAUUUGCUAUAGCAUAUUUCAAUACAUGUUAUAUACAGAAUGCAAGAGUGGGAUGUAAGCCAGGCGGAGUGGAGGAUUCCACCAAAAAAGUAGCACAAAAUGUCUAGUCGGAAUCUCUUUCUCUCUGCCUGUGUCUCUGUUUGCGACUUUCUCUGUCGGAUACAUGGGCCUUAGGCUAUAUCCUGAACCUGUUCAUUUAAAAAAAUUUUUUUUUUAUAACCGACACUCCUUAACUGUCUUGCUGUAAAAAAAAAAAAAAAAAAUGUUUAGCCUAUAUUCCCUACAAUCUGAUAGGCUAUGAAUAUGACUUUGGGCUCUACUAUAGGCUAAGCUUUCAUCGUUUUAAGCAUUGCUUUCUCUCAAUCAAAUAAUUAAUGUAACAUGGUUCCUUGUCAUGUUUGAAUAUCCUAAAAAUGUAAAGUAGCCAGGGGAAUGAGAGCGAACAAACAAUAGCCUAUAGAAACAUCUAAUGACAUGUUUAAUCAAGUUUGCUUAUUAAGAAAUUAACUAUUUAUGCGGGCCGGGGAAACCCUCCAUGCGAGGUUGAAAACCUAAUAGCCAAUUACCCAUCCUCCUACUAGGCCUAGCCUAGGGAAGCCUAGGAAUAGGCAAUCACAGCUUUGAGAGAGAACAUUAUUUAUUUACUGUUUUAUAAAGCAAUUAUUAUUCAGUUCUGAAGACUAAACUGCUUCUGUCUAGCCGAUAACGUAUAACCUAACUCACUAUGUUAAGACAUCCCGUUCCUCAUCAGACAAUCACUGCUCAAUCAUGUGCGCGCGCCACACGCACACAAACCUGUUCCAUCCUGAAGCUCCUUCGCCAGAAAUUAAUAUUAGAAAAUAUUUGCUUGCAUUUAGCCUCUGCCCAGGCUUUCAACAUGAUUUUUCGUCAUUAUUCGAUUUCGCAUUAUAGUAGUUUUGGAUAAAAAAAUUUAAAAAACAUUUUGUGGGUUGACCAAUAGGAAGCAAUACGAUCAUAUAACACAAUGCUUUAUGGAUACAUAAUCGCGAUAGGAUAGGUUGACAUCUCCCAAACCUAUAGCCUAAGCCUUUUCUUCAUGGUGAGGGUUCAGUGGUGGUUUUGUUUCAGCGUAACAGACCUAUAGCCUAACCCCCACCCAAAUGAAUUUGGUUCACUGCUUGACGGUUCCUCUUUCUGCAUAUUUUUGUGUGCUCCUAGGGCUGAGUGAUAUGGCCAAAACACAUCAUAAUAUAUAACAAAUGUUAGUUUUUUAAAUACUAUAUUUUAUGUUUCUUGAAUAAAAUUAUACAUUUGCUUUGA
Molecule: long non-coding RNA, 2580 nt
Organism: Oncorhynchus keta (chum salmon)
Lineage: Eukaryota; Metazoa; Chordata; Actinopteri; Salmoniformes; Salmonidae
Exons: 2
Source: RefSeq, a predicted model, not a curated record